GCUCAGGACGAACGCUGGCGGCGUGCCUAAUACAUGCAAGUCGAACGAACUCUGGUAUUGAUUGGUGCUUGCAUCAUGAUUUACAUUUGAGUGAGUGGCGAACUGGUGAGUAACACGUGGGAAACCUGCCCAGAAGCGGGGGAUAACACCUGGAAACAGAUGCUAAUACCGCAUAACAACUUGGACCGCAUGGUCCGAGCUUGAAAGAUGGCUUCGGCUAUCACUUUUGGAUGGUCCCGCGGCGUAUUAGCUAGAUGGUGGGGUAACGGCUCACCAUGGCAAUGAUACGUAGCCGACCUGAGAGGGUAAUCGGCCACAUUGGGACUGAGACACGGCCCAAACUCCUACGGGAGGCAGCAGUAGGGAAUCUUCCACAAUGGACGAAAGUCUGAUGGAGCAACGCCGCGUGAGUGAAGAAGGGUUUCGGCUCGUAAAACUCUGUUGUUAAAGAAGAACAUAUCUGAGAGUAACUGUUCAGGUAUUGACGGUAUUUAACCAGAAAGCCACGGCUAACUACGUGCCAGCAGCCGCGGUAAUACGUAGGUGGCAAGCGUUGUCCGGAUUUAUUGGGCGUAAAGCGAGCGCAGGCGGUUUUUUAAGUCUGAUGUGAAAGCCUUCGGCUCAACCGAAGAAGUGCAUCGGAAACUGGGAAACUUGAGUGCAGAAGAGGACAGUGGAACUCCAUGUGUAGCGGUGAAAUGCGUAGAUAUAUGGAAGAACACCAGUGGCGAAGGCGGCUGUCUGGUCUGUAACUGACGCUGAGGCUCGAAAGUAUGGGUAGCAAACAGGAUUAGAUACCCUGGUAGUCCAUACCGUAAACGAUGAAUGCUAAGUGUUGGAGGGUUUCCGCCCUUCAGUGCUGCAGCUAACGCAUUAAGCAUUCCGCCUGGGGAGUACGGCCGCAAGGCUGAAACUCAAAGGAAUUGACGGGGGCCCGCACAAGCGGUGGAGCAUGUGGUUUAAUUCGAAGCUACGCGAAGAACCUUACCAGGUCUUGACAUACUAUGCAAAUCUAAGAGAUUAGACGUUCCCUUCGGGGACAUGGAUACAGGUGGUGCAUGGUUGUCGUCAGCUCGUGUCGUGAGAUGUUGGGUUAAGUCCCGCAACGAGCGCAACCCUUAUUAUCAGUUGCCAGCAUUAAGUUGGGCACUCUGGUGAGACUGCCGGUGACAAACCGGAGGAAGGUGGGGAUGACGUCAAAUCAUCAUGCCCCUUAUGACCUGGGCUACACACGUGCUACAAUGGAUGGUACAACGAGUUGCGAACUCGCGAGAGUAAGCUAAUCUCUUAAAGCCAUUCUCAGUUCGGAUUGUAGGCUGCAACUCGCCUACAUGAAGUCGGAAUCGCUAGUAAUCGCGGAUCAGCAUGCCGCGGUGAAUACGUUCCCGGGCCUUGUACACACCGCCCGUCACACCAUGAGAGUUUGUAACACCCAAAGUCGGUGGGGUAACCUUUUAGGAACCAGCCGCCUAAGGUGGGACAGAUGAUUAGGGUGAAUCGU
Molecule: ribosomal RNA, 1501 nt
Filed under: Lactiplantibacillus plantarum
Lineage: Bacteria; Bacillati; Bacillota; Bacilli; Lactobacillales; Lactobacillaceae
Description: Lactobacillus plantarum partial 16S ribosomal RNA
Rfam family: Bacterial small subunit ribosomal RNA
Source: RNAcentral